Molecule: ribosomal RNA, 280 nt
Filed under: uncultured Pseudomonadota bacterium
Lineage: Bacteria; Pseudomonadati; Pseudomonadota
Description: uncultured proteobacterium partial 16S ribosomal RNA
Rfam family: Bacterial small subunit ribosomal RNA
Source: RNAcentral
CCUACGGGGGGCAGCAGUGGGGAAUAUUGGACAAUGGGCGCAAGCCUGAUCCAGCCAUGCCGCGUGAGUGAUGAAGGCCUUAGGGUUGUAAAGCUCUUUUGUCCGGGAAGAUAAUGACGGUACCGGAAGAAUAAGCCCCGGCUAACUUCGUGCCAGCAGCCGCGGUAAUACGAAGGGGGCUAGCGUUGCUCGGAAUCACUGGGCGUAAAGCGCACGUAGGCGGAUCUUUAAGUCAGAGGUGAAAUCCCAGGGCUCAACCCUGGAACUGCCUUUGAUACUG